RNAcentral lists this long non-coding RNA (2661 nucleotides) under Daucus carota (carrot). Its description in RNAcentral is "long non-coding RNA (DCAR_LNC005191)". The record is from RNAcentral. Lineage: Eukaryota; Viridiplantae; Streptophyta; Magnoliopsida; Apiales; Apiaceae.
GAAGUACUUGCAUAUAACUUCUGUCAUUUAUUUAAAAUUAACACGUGUUCCAUUUUGAGAAGUUCUUUUUAGGGUUAAAUUCUGCAUUAUUAUUAUAUUUUAUAUGUUAUUAAAUAUGUAUUUGGAACUGGAAACAGCAGGAUCAUUUACAUUCAUAUUUCAUGUUGUGGGCUGAUUAUUUAGGUUUCAAGAAUUUGCGGUCCUUGGAAGUUUGUGGUGGAGGAUUAACUGACGCUGGUGUGAAGAAUAUCAAAGAUCUCUCGUCUUUGACAAUGUUGAAUCUCUCUCAGAACCACCACCUGACAGAUAGAACCCUGGAACUGAUUUCUGGUAUAUAUUGGCAUCUUUAACUCAUCUAGAUCUUCUUUAUGUGAAUGUGGUUGAUUUUUUUUAGUACUCUGGUAUUUCAAAUCCCUAGAAAUGUAUUGAUACUGAUUACAUAUAUAUUCUUCACUUUGCACGUUUGCGAUGGAGAUAUCAGCNAAAAAAAAAAAAAAAAAGCUUGGUGUUUUUCCUUCUACAACAGUUGAUGCUUCUUCUCAUCUUCCUUUUUGCAUAUCUAUCUACUGACCCCAGUCAGCUCCAUGUAAUGUAUUGUUACUUCAUAUUCAGGGCUUCAGCAUUUGAAAUGUUUGGAGCUGUCUGAUACUGAAGUAGGAAGCAACGGACUCCAUCAUCUCUCUGGUUAGACAAGUGUCUUGUGUAGUGAUUAUAUAGCGUUAUCAUUUAGUGGUGAUCCAUGUUUCUUUGUAUACAUUAAUGUUGUUUAUAUCCUUAAGUAUCUAUUAUGUAGGUUUGACUAAUCUGGAGAGUUUGAAUCUUUCAUUCACUGUUGUAACUGAUGCUGGUCUGAAAAAACUAUCUGGAUUAUCAUUUCUGAAGUCUCUUAAUUUGGAUGCUCGCCAAAUUACAGAUGCUGGCUUGGCAGCUCUCACAAGUAAUGACUGUUUAAAUGAUAAUUUACUUUAAAUGUUAGAAUUGCUAAAGAGCUAUCAACACCAUUAUUUCAAGAUUUUUUUAUGUUUCCAGAUAUAUAUUUUGUCUUUGUGGAAAAUUUAGUUCUUGUUAGGUGAUAUGCAGGUCAAAUAUUUCUAAGCCUGUUUAGAUUUUAGGAGAACAAAGAAUCCUCGCUAAAGAUAUACUUCAUCUAUUAGUUGAUGCUGGCUUAUCAUAUGCAUGCAAGUUAUGUAUAGUUGGUUCUUAAAUUAUUGCCUUGGGAAUAAAAAAAUUAGUAAGUAUGGAGGCUUUGGGGACUAAAGCACACCGGAAAGUAAAUAUAGAUGUUAGGGUUUUGUUGUGCACUCCAUUAGAUUAGAAGGGGAUUCAUACGAAGCCCUUUAGCAAUUCUCCGUAUCACAUCAAAAUGUUAGCUUGUUUGGAAACACCUGUUUAACUGGCCCAACUUCAUUUUGCUGCCAGCCUUAAUCAGCAAGUGAAAUUUUGCUGCUAGGCUUUAUGUCCCAUUUGGCCAGUACAUUUGUGGGGAAAAGUAAUACUCUGUUCCUUCCCUCUCUAGUACAUAUUUGUCCGGGUUUGAGAUUUAAAUUUAUUAAUCUCUAACUUCUCUUUUCCUGUUCUUAUUUUUCUAAACUCAAUUGUUGAAUUGAGCUGCGUGCUGCAGAAGUUUGUUUAGUGUCAGUAAGAAGUAUAAUUCAAAGCCCGCAAACACGAUCAAGAACCAAAUUGAAUUAAGAAGUAUAAUUCAAAGCCCGCAAACACGAUCAAGAACCAAAUUGAAUGCCUUCUGGUUUAUUGUUACUUCAUUCUUAUAUCCCUCUUAUGGUAACAUUUUCUUGUUUGAAAUUUGUCUGUAUGUGCAGGUUUGACUGGUCUGACUCAUUUGGAUCUAUUCUGCGCUCGUAUCACAGAUUCAGGAACAAAUUAUUUGCGAAGUACUUGCAUAUAACUUCUGUCAUUUAUUUAAAAUUAACACGUGUUCCAUUUUGAGAAGUUCUUUUUAGGGUUAAAUUCUGCAUUAUUAUUAUAUUUUAUAUGUUAUUAAAUAUGUAUUUGGAACUGGAAACAGCAGGAUCAUUUACAUUCAUAUUUCAUGUUGUGGGCUGAUUAUUUAGGUUUCAAGAAUUUGCGGUCCUUGGAAGUUUGUGGUGGAGGAUUAACUGACGCUGGUGUGAAGAAUAUCAAAGAUCUCUCGUCUUUGACAAUGUUGAAUCUCUCUCAGAACCACCACCUGACAGAUAGAACCCUGGAACUGAUUUCUGGUAUAUAUUGGCAUCUUUAACUCAUCUAGAUCUUCUUUAUGUGAAUGUGGUUGAUUUUUUUUAGUACUCUGGUAUUUCAAAUCCCUAGAAAUGUAUUGAUACUGAUUACAUAUAUAUUCUUCACUUUGCACGUUUGCGAUGGAGAUAUCAGCUCGAGUAAUUAUUUAGUAGCUCGUAGUAAGGACAAUGAGAUUCCGUUUUUUUCUUUUGUGGAACUACAUACUUUGAUUAAAGUUCGUGAUCUGCUUCUAGGACCUGUGUUGGCAAACAUUUGUUCUUAUAUUUUCCCAGUUGAUGACUGCAUAAAAGCCUCAUAUAUCCACAUAAUUACAGGUUUGACAGAUUUGGUUUCUUUAAAUGUCUCAAGCUCUCGUAUAACUGCUGGAGGGUUGAAUCACCUAAAACCCCUGAAGAAUCUAAGAUCAUUGACCUUGGAAUCCUG